RNAcentral lists this non-coding RNA (206 nucleotides) under Paramoeba aestuarina. Lineage: Eukaryota; Discosea; Flabellinia; Dactylopodida; Paramoebidae. The record is from RNAcentral.
AUAUUGAGAUGACUGAUGUGGGUCAACCAACACCAACUUCAACUCCAACAACAACAACUGAACAACCCUCCCUGUGUUUUGAUGAAACCGGUGAUCUUGAAGAAGACCCCCGCUUUGCUGAAGACGUGGAGAACCUUACCGACUCAUUUUCAAAUGUUUUCUCUCAUCCCGCUACCGUCCCGCCUCUCAACACGAGUGAGCCCUCG